GACGAACGCUGGCGGCGUGCUUAACACAUGCAAGUCGAACGGAAAGGCCCUGCUUUUGUGGGGUGCUCGAGUGGCGAACGGGUGAGUAACACGUGAGUAACCUGCCCUUGACUUUGGGAUAACUUCAGGAAACUGGGGCUAAUACCGGAUAGGAGCUCCUGCUGCAUGGUGGGGGUUGGAAAGUUUCGGCGGUUGGGGAUGGACUCGCGGCUUAUCAGCUUGUUGGUGGGGUAGUGGCUUACCAAGGCUUUGACGGGUAGCCGGCCUGGGAGGGUGGCCGGCCACAAUGGGACUGCGAGACGGACCAGACGCCAACGGGAGGCAGCAGUGGGGAGUCUUGCGCAAUGGGCGGAAGCCAGAUGCGGCAGCGUCGCGUGCGGGAUGACGGCUUUCGGGGUGUAAACCAAUUUGGCCUGAGACGAAGCGUGAGUGACGGUAAUGGGUAAAGAAGCACCGGCUAACUACGUG
This 468-nucleotide ribosomal RNA is filed under the name uncultured bacterium. Its description in RNAcentral is "partial 16S ribosomal RNA". It matches the Rfam family "Bacterial small subunit ribosomal RNA", at positions 28 to 507 of the family's 1533-position model. The record is from RNAcentral.